GGUAGCCUCCAUCUCAUGCUGCAGCCACCACCAUCAAGCUCGACCGCCACCAUCUCAACUGACCUUCGAUACCUCCCCCUUUACCAGAACGCUACAGUUAGAAGAAUAAACCAGUGGUUGUCGCAUCACCAUCUCUUUUGUGGUGGGCGGUUGCUGCAAAAUCGAGCAGCCAUCGAGUCACUACUGUCGUUGCUAUCACUCCCGGUGAGAAGAGAGGUCGGGUAAGGGAAUCAGAGCUGGGUGUUGCAGGAUGCCGUUACUGCUUUCGUUUCACAGAAAAGAAGUACCUCCUGCAACUCUUUCCCUUUUUCCUUCAUGUGCAAAAUGACGACGACCACCCAGCUGCCACUUGUUGUCGCCGUUGUGCGUUCCAUAGCUCAUUCCGUCACCCUCCUUCGUCGUUUUCCUCCUCUAAGACCGAAGUUGGUGUGUGUCCGUAUCUUAGCCCCUGUCGCCGUAUGUGUGCGUGUUCAGGCUUUAGCAUGAUUGUGUGUUUGUGUUUCGGCUAGCUGGGAGCUGAUGAGAACCACCAUGGCAGCCAACCAUGGUGGCUGCUGCCAUUUUCGUUUCUGUCAUCCCCGACCACCGCUAGCCGCCGAUGGGGGGUGGCUGUUUAUGUUUAGUUCUCAUAGUUCGGGAAUCUGUCAACCAGCAGCUGGGAUUGUGUCUACGGGACUUCAGCAGUGUGAGGUACUUCGUUUUCAAAGGAAAGGAGCCGGCUUGACCGCAGCGCAUCACACUAUGGUUUUCCGCACAUGAGAUCUUUGGGAUUACACUCUUAUAUUGUUUUAUGAUAACAUGUUUUAAUUAUUUCUACUUUGGUUUUGACAUGACAUGAUAUUAUGGAUGUUUUAUUAUAAUGUUGGUUUUAUAAUAACGUAUUUAAAAAUGAAA
Lactuca sativa (garden lettuce) is the source of this 894-nucleotide non-coding RNA. The record is from RefSeq and is a predicted model, not a curated record. Lineage: Eukaryota; Viridiplantae; Streptophyta; Magnoliopsida; Asterales; Asteraceae.